RNAcentral lists this long non-coding RNA (2810 nucleotides) under Monomorium pharaonis (pharaoh ant). Its description in RNAcentral is "uncharacterized LOC118644360". Lineage: Eukaryota; Metazoa; Arthropoda; Insecta; Hymenoptera; Formicidae. The record is from RNAcentral.
CUUAACAAAAUAAUGUGCCUGAUAAAGAAGUAAACGCGGGCGAGACUCAUUUAAAGGCUUCACGAUGUCAAGUAUAUUCGCAGAAAAAGUAAUAUAUUUAAUGAACCACAUUAAAACGAGGAAUAUAACAGCUAAUACUUCCAGAAGAAGAUCAAAAGUGCAUUCCGGAAGAAAUAAUUUCAUAAACUGUAAGCAAUACUUAUUGAUAUAUAAAUAUUUUAACUAUAGAAUAACAAAUUGAUUUUGUAUAUCUGAAAAAAAAUUAUUUUAAAAAACCCAUGUACACACAAAAUACGUUAAAUUUAAACUAUUUAAAUUAUAUAUUAAGUAUUUGUAUUAUGUGUUACAUAUUUAUUUUAUGUUAUUCAAAAUGUAUUAUUAAACUUUAAAUUGUGUUAGUAAGGAUCUCAGAUAUUGCAAAUUCUUGUAUAUGGAAAUGCAGAAAGUAAAAAUGAUUCUAUCUUUAGGUUGGUUUAGCAUAAUGAAUCUGAUUAAAUAUGCAUUUUCAAUUAUGAAGGAAAAAUAUAUGCGUCCUAAUAUAGUUAUGCUAUGAGAUUUGAGUGAUUUAAAAAUCACUUUACAAUUAUGUUAACAUUUUGGAUUGUUUAUUAGAUAAGAAUGUGUAACAACAUUUAGAGUAUAUCAAAUCGUGUACGCUUGCGAUGCGUGCAUAUGUUUUUUAAAAUAAUUUUUUUUUUAAAUGGACAAAUAAUUCUUAUGUAACAAACUAUGUUAAUUACGCGCGCGAAAACGCCAAGCACGAUUUGUAAUAAUAUGUAAUUUAAUAAGAUACCUGUACUCAAUAUGGCCCACUAUGCUUUGGGUAUUUUUCUAAUUUUGUGAUGUACGAAAUUGAAAAAUAAGGGUCAGAUUAAAAAUAAGUAUUUCUGAAAUCAAAAAAUAUAUAAAAUAUUUUCAAUUAUUUAUACAGUAAAGAUUUAAAAAGAAGGCAUUUGGACUGUGUUGAUUAUAUUUGUACUCAAUAUGGUCUUGUUAUAUAUUUUCCUCUUUUUCACAAGUAUUUUUGAAAAAAUGCGACAUAAAAAAUCAACAUGUUUAAUUAAGCACUUAUUAAUAUACUUAUAAAAAAAAUUACACGUACAACUAUAAAAUAUAAAACUGUGUUUAUUUACUACGAGUCGUAGUAACUUUUACCUGUCAAAAAGCUCCUCCAACUGACUGGAAAGUAGACAAAAAAUACUAAUCAAAAGUUUAACACUAAAUAAAGAAACAGAAUCUUAACUUUUAUAUAAUAAUAAGAUAUAUUGCGUUUUCAAUAAUGUUCCUGGCCAUAAUAGUUUCACCAUGCAAAGAGUUUUCUUUUUUUAAUUAUAAAUAAGAUGUUUCAAUAAAAAUAUAAAAUAAAUAUAGUUUUAAAGAGCACAAAUAACGAGUUACAAUAAUAUGAAUUGCGGAUAUUUAUAAUUGUUACAUGACAAUUAUACAUAUAAAGUAAAAACCUACCUCUGAAAUUUUAGGUAUAGCACAAUUUGAAUAAAGUGUGAUUAUAAGUUAUAAAAAGCAGUUAACUGGCAUAAAUACAUCAUAUGGACUUCCUGAACGAUAUAUUAGCUAUCCGUGAAAUUCGUUCAAAUUAUUUGAAAAUGGGGCACGGGGAGUGAGCCAAAUUGAGUACAUGAUCAUACUGGUAUUUUGUGUAUAUAAUACACAAAUACACAAUUGUGUAUAUUAUACAUUAUUAUGUGUAAAUAUAAAUAUUUAUAUGUAAAAGCCAUAAAAAAUUGUACACUAGUUUUUUAUUAAAUAAAAAAAAUAAAUGUAAUAUAUAGCAAGCAUCAACUUGUAUGAAACUUAAGUGAAUUUAAACAAAAUAUCCGAAGUUUAAUGUAAUAAAUCAGCAGAGGAGAGAAGGCGAGGUAAUCAACUACAUAGAUGUGGGAUUAUGAAAUUCCUGAUAUCUCAUAUAUAUUGUGUUGAUUUCUGGGAAUAACCAAAUUACUUUUUUACAUAAUUCUUAAACUGUUUAGGCGUUAUAACAUGGCCACUAGUCAUUAAUUUUGUUGUUAUGAAAACUGCAUUUCAAUAUUGCAAGUAACCAAAAGUUUUAUAAGUGUCCAAAUCUCAUUUUGAAAAAUAUGUCGAGUAUUAAUUUUUUAAUUUUAACUUGAAAAGCUUAAAUGUGGAUCUCAAAUAAAACAUAAUUGAAUUUAAUGUUUGACGUAAUGUGUGCAUACAUUUAACGUAUAAAGUAGUUAUACUGCCUGCAUUUAGGAUUAUGGACCAUUGCGAGUGUCACAAAUUUGAGUCUCUUCGCACGUAAUACUUUUUACAACAUUUUUACAAUAUUUAGCUAAUAUUGUUUGUUACAAUACUGUUAUAGGACUUCUACAAUACGCAAAGUCAAAAAAGCUAAAGAUUUUCAAAAAUAUAUUUUUUAUUCUUUUAUGUAAUACUAUUAUAUACAAGAUAUUGAUACUGAUGUGCAAAAUCUAUUAAAGAGCGUUAAUUUAUUGUUUUUCAAACAUAAAAAUAAAAAAAUAUUUGUUUAUAAUGUUCCAUAUCCUUUUACAGUUCUAUAACCGCAAUCUUUUUUCUCUCUUCAGUAAAUUUGUUAAUUAUGUUAUGAAUAUCUGAAGAACUUCUGUUUAUAAUAUGAUUGGAACUCUCUGGGUAACAAACAUGUAUUAACAAGAAUUAUGCUACAUAAAUAUUUAGCGAGUUAUUUAAAUAAAACAAAAUGGUGAUUGAUAAUCCCCUCCUCUGUAGAAUCAUAAUAAUGAAAUGACACAAUGUAAAAAAGUAGAAAAAAAUUAUAAUAAAAAAAAUAUAUUAUAAAUUUUAAGUAAAAA